Molecule: unclassified non-coding RNA, 390 nt
Filed under: soil metagenome
Description: partial contains 5.8S ribosomal RNA, internal transcribed spacer 2, and large subunit ribosomal RNA
Rfam family: 5.8S ribosomal RNA (bases 1-122)
Source: RNAcentral
GAUGAAGAACGUAGCGAAAUGCGAUACUUGGUGUGAAUUGCAGAAUCCCGCGAAUCAUCGAGUUUUUGAACGCAAGUUGCGCCCGAAGCCAUUCGGCCGAGGGCACGUCUGCCUGGGUGUCACGCAUCGUUGCCCCCCCAAACUCCGGUUCGGGCAGGGCGGAAGUUAGCCUCCCGUGCGUGCCUGCGCGCGCGGUUAGCCCAAAAGCGAGUCCUCGGCGACGAGCGCCACGACAAUCGGUGGUUUUUUUACCCUCGUUCCUCGUCGUGCGUGCCCCGUCGCCCGAACGCGCUCUUGCGACCCUUACGCGUCGCCUCGGCGGCGCUCCCAACGCGACCCCAGGUCAGGCGGGACUACCCGCUGAGUUUAAGCAUAUCAAUAAGCGGAGGA